Ameiurus melas (black bullhead) is the source of this 72-nucleotide non-coding RNA. Lineage: Eukaryota; Metazoa; Chordata; Actinopteri; Siluriformes; Ictaluridae. The record is from the annotation of a GenBank genome assembly.
UCCCUGGUUGUCUAGUGGUAAGGAUUCGGCGCUCACCACCGCCGCGUCCGGGUUCGAUUCCCGGUCAGGGAA